RNAcentral lists this transfer RNA (73 nucleotides) under Stegodyphus mimosarum. It matches the Rfam family "tRNA". Rfam says of the family: Transfer RNA (tRNA) molecules are approximately 80 nucleotides in length. Their secondary structure includes four short double-helical elements and three loops (D, anti-codon, and T loops). Lineage: Eukaryota; Metazoa; Arthropoda; Arachnida; Araneae; Eresidae. The record is from Rfam by way of RNAcentral.
GCCUUCGUGGUGUAAUGGUCAGCAUGCUCGACGCGUAACCGAGAGGUCCGUGGUUCAAUUCCCGGCAAAGGCG